Molecule: non-coding RNA, 219 nt
Organism: Arachis ipaensis
Lineage: Eukaryota; Viridiplantae; Streptophyta; Magnoliopsida; Fabales; Fabaceae
Source: RefSeq, a predicted model, not a curated record
UCCAAGCAUUGACCCAACCUGUCCAGCAAGACUUGCAAGAGUGCUGAAACGAAUGCACUCAACACGAAGGCCACCAUUAUGAUUUCUUUUUGAGUUGUGACACUGACAUUCAAUACUUUCACAGAAAACACCAAGCGGAGAUCCAAACAAAGUAAGUAACUUGCAAUAACAUGUGCUCCCAGCUUAACCUUUAGUUCUGUGCAUGUCAAAACACAAAAG